Long non-coding RNA from Daphnia pulicaria, 274 nucleotides. RefSeq lists it as uncharacterized. The transcript has 3 exons. Lineage: Eukaryota; Metazoa; Arthropoda; Branchiopoda; Diplostraca; Daphniidae. The record is from RefSeq and is a predicted model, not a curated record.
AGUAUUCUACAACACAAUGUCCUCCCGGAUGGCGUACGUUUGCUGGGAAAAGGUUUCGUUCUUCAACAAGGUAACGAUCCCAAACAUAAAGAAAAGAGAGUUAUGCGUUAUCUUGGCAACAAGGAAAAAGACGGCACCAUUAAAAACAUGAUCUGGCCACCACAAAGUCCCGAUUUAAACCCCUUCGAGAAAAUUUGGGAUCAUCUUGACACAUCUGUACGAAGGAUAUGUAUACUAACUUAAAAAAUUUCUUUGAACACCUACAAAAGUGCUG